GACGAACGCUGGCGGCGUGCUUAACACAUGCAAGUCGAACGGAAAGGCCCUGCUUUUGUGGGAUGCUCGAGUGGCGAACGGGUGAGUAACACGUGAGUAACCUGCCCUUGACUUUGGGAUAACUUCAGGAAACUGGGGCUAAUACCGGAUAGGAGCUCCUGCUGCAUGGUGGGGGUUGGAAAGUUUCGGCGGUUGGGGAUGGACUCGCGGCUUAUCAGCUUGUUGGUGGGGUAGUGGCUUACCAAGGCUUUGACGGGUAGCCGGCCUGAGAGGGUGACCGGCCACAUUGGGACGGAGAUACGGCCCAGACUCCUACGGGAGGCAGCAGUGGGGAAUAUUGCACAAUGGGCGGAAGCCUGAUGCAGCAACGCCGCGUGCGGGAUGACGGCCUUCGGGUUGUAAACCGCUUUCGCCUGUGACGAAGCGUGAGUGACGGUAAUGGGUAAAGAAGCACCGGCUAACUACGUG
Molecule: ribosomal RNA, 468 nt
Filed under: uncultured bacterium
Lineage: Bacteria
Description: partial 16S ribosomal RNA
Rfam family: Bacterial small subunit ribosomal RNA
Source: RNAcentral